UGCCACCCAGCCGGACCCAUUCUGGUUCCAACUUUCUAUUCACUCUCUAUCUACGGAAACACAGACACAAACACACACGGCUAUACUACUGUUUUUUUUACUCAUCUCCUUCUUUCUUCGCCGGCCAAGCACACAAAUUCUUAGAUCUACUCAUCUCUUUCUCUCUAGGGUUUCAACUUUAAGUUAUUUCUUCUCUCCAUGUAUUUGGAUUCCCGAAUUAGGGUUUCGAAUUCGAGUUCAACGAACAACUAGUUCGAAUCGAAAUCUAUUUACAUUUUCUAAACCCUAGGUCUGCGACCGACCAAUGCAAAACUCAACGAGCUCGGAGGCAAUUCUGGAAUGGCUGCAGAAAGAAAUGGGGUAUCGACCUCUCGGCCACUACGUUGCUUCCAACAAGGCGGCGUCACAACCGUCGAUCGAUUCAAUUCGAAAGGUUUGCCGUGGGAAUAUGAUCCCGGUGUGGAACUUCUUGGUGAAGAGAGUGAAAUCGGACAAGACGGUGGAGAAUCUCCGGCGGAACAUACUUGUUUUUCAUGAUGGUGAUGACGGUGGUGGUGGCGGUGGUGCUGGGGCGGAUUCGUUGAAAGGUGGAGAGGCGGGGAGGAGGGGUAGAGGGAGGAGGAAAGAGAGUUUGAGAGAGAGUUCAGUGGAAAGUAGUAGAGAAAUUGCGUUGCAGGAGAGGGAUUUGGCGAAGAAGGAGGCGGAGAGGUUGAGGCAUAUUGUGAGGCGGCAGCGAAAGGAGUUGAAGGUGCGAAUGUCGGAGGUUUCACGGGAAGAGGCAGAGCGGAAGCGUAUGCUUGAUGAGAGGUCAAAUUACAGGCACAAGCAGGUGAUGUUGGAGGCUUAUGAUCAACAGUGUGAUGAAGCGGCAAAAAUAUUUGCAGAGUAUCAUAAGCGCCUUCGUUACUCUGUUAAUCAAGCAAGGGAUGCUCAAAUGUUGACUGUUGACUCAUCUAUUGAAGUUGUCAACACCUACAGUGCAAAUAGUGAAAAAGAGGCUGUUUAUUCAACUGUUAAAGGGACCAAAUCUGCAGAUGAAGUCAUUCUCGUAGAAACAACCAGGGAAAGAAAUAUCCGGAAGGCAUGUGAAUCUCUUACAAUGCAAAUGAUUGAAAAGAUUCGAAGCUCAUUUCCGGCUUAUGAAGGAAGUGGCAUCCAUUUGAACCCUCAAUUGGAAGCUGCCAAGUUAGGCUUUGAUUUUGAUGGGGAUAUAUCGGAUGAGGUUAGAGACAUAAUUCUUCAUUGCCUGAAGAGUCCUCCUCAAUUGCUUCAGGCUAUUACUGCAUACACUCAACGGAUGAAAACACUGAUCACUAGAGAAAUAGAGAAAAUUGAUGUUAGAGCUGAUGCAGAAACCUUAAGGUACAAGUACGAGAAUAACAGAGUCAUGGAUGCUUCUCCGGAUGCAAGCUCACCGUUACAAUAUCAACUUUAUGGUAAUGGAAAGAUUGGAAUGGAUGUGCCUUCGACGGGAACUCAAAAUCAACUUCUUGAAAGACAGAAAGCACAUGUUCAGCAAUUUGUGGCUACUGAAGAUGCACUCAACAAAGCUGCAGAAGCUAGGAAUAUGUGUCAAAAACUUCUGCAACGUCUGCAUAGAGGUGGUGAUGCUAUAUUUUCACAAUCACUUCUUGUUGGAAGCACAUCACAAAAUGUGGGCAGUCUCAGACAAUUUGAGUUGGAGGUUUGGGCCAAGGAAAGAGAAGCUGCUGGAUUGAGGGCUAGCUUGAAUACAUUGAUGUUUGAAGUACCACGCUUGAAUAAAUUAUGUGCAGAGAGGAAGGAAGCUGAAGAUUCUUUGAGAAAGAAGUGGAAAAAGAUUGAAGAAUUUGAUGGCCGCAGAUCUGAACUUGAAUCCAUAAAUAAUGCUCUACUUAAGGCUAACAUGGAUGCUGCUGUGUUCUGGAGCCAACAGCCAUUAGCUGCAAGGGCGUAUGCAUCAAGCACCAUUAUCCCAGCAUGCACAGUUGUUGUGGAGUUAUCAAAUGGUGCAAAAGAUUUUAUUGAUAAAGAAGUGUCGUCCUUUUAUCGGAGUCCUGAUAAUAGUCUCUACAUGCUUCCAUCAACCCCACAGGUUUUCAAUCAGGCGCUAUUGGAAUCUAUGGGUGCUAAUAGAUCUUCAGGACCUGAAGCAGUUGCUGCCGCUGAAAAGAAUGCUGUUCUAUUGACUGCAAGAGCUGGUGCUAGAGAUCCGUCUUCAAUUCCUUCCAUUUGCCGUAUUUCUGCUGCCUUUCAAUAUCCUGCUGGUUUGGAAAGUUCAGAUGCUGGUUUAGCAUCAGUAUUAGAGUCCCUAGAAUUUUGUUUGAAGCAUCGUGGUUCUGAGGCUUGUGUGUUGGAGGACUUGGCAAAGGCCAUCAAUUUGGUCCAUAUACGGCAGGAUCUUGUUGAAAGUGGUCAUGCAUUGUUAAAUCAUGCUUACCAUGCACAACAAGAAUAUGAAAGGAUGUCAUCGGAAAGCCAUCAAACGACCGGCAUUAGCUUCGACACAUGAGAAGCCUUUCGCAUGGAAGGUAGGAAGGCCUGUACGUCAAUCCCUACUAGCCGUCGACAAUGUGAAUUUGUCGCUGAAGAGAUGAUCAUUAGGGAGAUACGAAAAGUGGAGAUGGACUACUCUUACUAUAUGAAGGAGCAAAAGAGAUCUGUUGUUUGAUGCCGUCUGCAGUACCUGAGUCGCGCAGCAAAGAGCGCAAUCCGCACGGGCAUACGCUGAGUCUUGGCAGAUGAAGCACCACACCGACAUCCGGUGCAAAUUGAGAGAGGCAAAUCUCAUUACCAUGAGCCAAUAGAGGUGGAGCAACAAUCGGUGCAGCCAGGAACAACCCGAGCAUUUCCAAUCGAAGUUUCAUCUGAACAUGUUCUCCCUUCACCGAUGUAUACACCCCGCUCUCCUGGCCAAGCAACCGACUCGGCAGAUGAGGAUCCUGAAGAAGAUUUUGAUUGGUGUAGGGAUGGGAGUUAAUCUAAGGGUAGUAAUCUAGGCUUUUGUAAGAUCCACUUAUAGUAGGGACCCUUAAAGAUAUAUGUAGUGACUUUGUGACUAUGAUGUGUGUAGUACCUUCUGAAUGAAACUCUGAUCUGGAAACCUUUUGUACUAAUGCCUAUUAUAAAUAUAUGAAGUGAUGAUUUGAUCUA
Camellia sinensis is the source of this 3132-nucleotide non-coding RNA. The record is from RefSeq and is a predicted model, not a curated record. NCBI's taxonomy places the organism in Eukaryota, Viridiplantae, Streptophyta, Magnoliopsida, Ericales, Theaceae.